This 404-nucleotide ribosomal RNA is filed under the name uncultured prokaryote. Its description in RNAcentral is "bacterial SSU rRNA". It matches the Rfam family "Bacterial small subunit ribosomal RNA", at positions 355 to 776 of the family's 1533-position model. The record is from RNAcentral. RNAcentral also lists the same sequence under 1 other name.
UGGGGAAUAUUGCGCAAUGGGGGAAACCCUGACGCAGCAACGCCGCGUGAAGGAAGAAGGCUUUCGGGUCGUAAACUUUUGUCUUAGGGGACGAUAAUGACGGUACCCUAGGAGGAAGCCACGGCUAACUACGUGCCAGCAGCCGCGGUAAUACGUAGGUGGCGAGCGUUGUCCGGAAUUACUGGGUGUAAAGGGCGCGUAGACGGGUGCGUAAGUCAGAUGUGAAAUACCGGGGCUCAACUCCGGGGCUGCAUUUGAAACUAUGUAUCUUGAGUGCAGGAGAGGUAAGUGGAAUUCCUAGUGUAGCGGUGAAAUGCGUAGAUAUUAGGAGGAACACCAGUGGCGAAGGCGACUUACUGGACUGUAACUGACGUUGAGGCGCGAAAGCGUGGGUAGCAAACAGG